AAAAAAUGUAUUAGGCUAUACAUAUAACUGUUACUGUUAUUAGCUUAUAACAACAGGAGGACAUAUGAAAGUGUGAGCCACCGCGCCCGGCCUAUGUUUUUCUUUAGAGACAGCCUUUGAGUUGGUGAUAAGCUUAUGCACUGAAGAUGCCUUGACCAGCAAAACCUGUGUCAUGAGAGGCAGAGUCCCACUUUUCUGUAUAUUAUGC
Long non-coding RNA from Homo sapiens (human), 208 nucleotides. Ensembl annotates it as ITCH intronic transcript 1. Its record names the gene ITCH-IT1. The record is from Ensembl. NCBI's taxonomy places the organism in Eukaryota, Metazoa, Chordata, Mammalia, Primates, Hominidae.